GCAGGAGAGAAGUUUUAUGAACAGGCUGCUUGUUGCUUGUGAGAGAAUCAGAGAGGCGACUGGGAGAGGUUAGAAGGAGCUCUGAUAAGAGGCUUUAUGGCUUUGCCCUGAGGCAACUUCAGCUCUACAAGUCCACCAAACUCAAAAGUGUGACCCGAUCGGGCCCUGGAGUCUCAGUGUACCAGUGGCACCAACCUCACUGCAGUGUCUCGCUGAGGGGAGCAUCUCAUAAGUGCUGAUGUGGAAUCUGAUCCCUGCAUCCCGCAGUAAGCCCUGCCUUUGCUGGCAGCUGGAGGACCAAGUAGGAGCUCAGAGCAUCUUCUCACAAAUGUGGGAUCUGAAACCUUCCUUGGGAGCCCCUCCUCAGCUGGGUAGGAGGAGCCAAUCCAUCCCCACAGCCCUGCUCUGGGUGCGGGAAGAUCCAAAAGUCAAUCACUCCAGCUGAAGUUCCAAUGAACUCCUUUCAUUGGCCAGAGGUCUAGGAGAAGGUGGGGGUUCCUCCCAGGUGAAAAGUCCCCUUCUUCCGCACCCCUUUGGACUCCAUGUUUGGGUCCCCUUCCACCCUCGGGGAAGCCGUCUGUAUCCUGGAUUUCCCCUCCAGAGUCCCCUUCCACACUCUUAGUGGAAGUUUUCUCUCUUCCCCUUUUUUUUUCUCUUUCUCCACCUAAAUAAAUUCACUUUCUGCAAAAACUCUGUUUGGGGUCUGGAAUUUACUUUGGGAA
This is a long non-coding RNA of Callithrix jacchus (white-tufted-ear marmoset), 722 nucleotides long. NCBI's taxonomy places the organism in Eukaryota, Metazoa, Chordata, Mammalia, Primates, Cebidae. The record is from Ensembl.